ACGGAAGGCAGCAGUGGGGAGUAUUGCGCAAUGGGGGGAACCCUGACGCAGCAACGCCGCGUGAAGGAAGAAGGCCUUCGGGUUGUAAACUUUUGUCGCAAGGGAAGAAGGAAGUGACGGUACCUUGUGAGAAAGCCACGGCUAACUACGUGCCAGCAGCCGCGGUAAUACGUAGGUGGCGAGCGUUGUCCGGAUUUACUGGGUGUAAAGGGCGCGUAGGCGGGCUGUCAAGUCAGAUGUGAAAUGCCGGGGCUUAACUUCGGAGCUGCAUUUGAAACUGACAGUCUUGAGUAUCGGAGGGGAAAGCGGAAUUCCUGGUGUAGCGGUGAAAUGCGUAGAUAUCCGGAGGAACACCGGUGGCGAAGGCGGCUUUCUGGACGACAACUGACGCUGAGGCGCGAAAGUGUGGGGAGCAAACAGGAUUAGAUACCCUGGUA
RNAcentral lists this ribosomal RNA (437 nucleotides) under uncultured Clostridium sp. RNAcentral describes it as "partial 16S ribosomal RNA". It matches the Rfam family "Bacterial small subunit ribosomal RNA", at positions 341 to 792 of the family's 1533-position model. Lineage: Bacteria; Bacillati; Bacillota; Clostridia; Eubacteriales; Clostridiaceae. The record is from RNAcentral.